Orbicella faveolata is the source of this 276-nucleotide long non-coding RNA. NCBI's taxonomy places the organism in Eukaryota, Metazoa, Cnidaria, Anthozoa, Scleractinia, Merulinidae. The record is from RefSeq and is a predicted model, not a curated record.
ACACUUAAAAAGAUCAAGUAUUGAUAUUCAAUACAUACACUGUAAUGCAAUUUUAGCUCCAUGUCCUGAUCCCGGAGUGCCAGGCAAUGGAAACAGAAGCGGUGAUGACUUUAGACACGCUAAAUCGGUAACCUUUAGAUGCAACGAGGAUUAUGAACUGGAAGGAGAAGCAACCAUCAGCUGUAACAAUGGAGACUGGACAAGCAAAAAACCCCUGUGUAAAGUUAUUUCAUGUAAAGAUCCAGGAAGUCCUUCACAUGGACAACAAUCGAAAGU